This 874-nucleotide ribosomal RNA is filed under the name Micractinium sp. KGE4. Its description in RNAcentral is "eukaryotic LSU rRNA". It matches the Rfam family "Eukaryotic large subunit ribosomal RNA", at positions 49 to 949 of the family's 3401-position model. The record is from RNAcentral. Lineage: Eukaryota; Viridiplantae; Chlorophyta; Trebouxiophyceae; Chlorellales; Chlorellaceae.
AGCGGAGGAAAAGAAACUAACCAGGAUUCCCCUAGUAGCGGCGAGCGACCGGGAUAAGCCCAACUUGAAAAUCUCCGUCCUUCGGGCGGCGAAUUGUAGUCUAGAGAGGUGUUCUCUGCGGCGGGCCGUGCCCAAGUCCCUUGGAAGGGGGCGUCCGAGAGGGUGAUAACCCCGUCGGCCACGGUCUCAGCCGCUCCACGAGGCGCUUUCGCAGAGUCGGGUUGUUUGGGAAUGCAGCCCAAAGCAGGUGGUAAGUCCCAUCUAAGGCUAAAUACUGACGGGAGACCGAUAGCGAACAAGUACCGCGAGGGAAAGAUGAAAAGAACUUUGAAAAGAGAGUUAAAAAGUGCUUGAAAUUGUUGGGAGGGAAGGGAUUGGAGGUCGUGGGUGCGCCCAGGCUCACGCCGGCUGUACGGCCGGCUGUAUGUGCUGGGCGCUGGUCAGCAUCGGUUAGUCGGGCGGGACAACAGCGGCCUUUGAUCGGCCGCCCCUGUCGCCCGGCUGUCCGAGGAAUGAAGGGCGCUCUCGGCCUUCGGGACCUGCGCUCUCAGGAUGCUGGCGGAAGGCCUCCAAUCUGCCCGUCUUGAAACACGGACCAAGGAGUACAACAUGCAUGCGAGCUGGUGGGCGGAAAACCCACGAAGCGCAAGUAACCUGACUGGUGGGAUGGCCUGUGCCUGCACCAUCAACCGACCAUGAUCUUCUGUGAAAGGUUUGAGUGCGAGCAUGUUUGUUGUGACCCGAAAGAUGGUGAACUAUGCCUGAGCAGGGCGAAGCCAGAGGAAACUCUGGUGGAGGCUCGUAGAUGUGCUGACGUGCAAAUCGCUUUUCGGACUUGGGUAUAGGGGCGAAAGACUAAUCGAACCUUCUAGUA